GACGAACGCUGGCGGCGUGCUUAACACAUGCAAGUCGAACGGAAAGGCCCUGCUUUUGUGGGGUGCUCGAGUGGCGAACGGGUGAGUAACACGUGAGUAACCUGCCCUUGACUUUGGGAUAACUUCAGGAAACUGGGGCUAAUACCGGAUAGGAGCUCCUGCUGCAUGGUGGGGGUUGGAAAGUUUCGGCGGUUGGGGAUGGACUCGCGGCUUAUCAGCUUGUUGGUGGGGUAGUGGCUUACCAAGGCUUUGACGGGUAGCCGGCCUGAGAGGGUGACCGGCCACAUUGGGACUGGGGUACGGCCCAGACUCCUACGGGAGGGAGCAGUGGGGAAUAUUGCACAAUGGGCGGAAGCCUGAUGCAGCGACGCCGCGUGCGGGAUAACGGCCUUCGGGUUGUAAACCGCUUUCGCCUGUGACGAAGCGUGAGUGACGGUAAUGAGUGAAGAAGCACCGGCUAACUACGUG
This 468-nucleotide ribosomal RNA is filed under the name uncultured bacterium. RNAcentral's name for it is "partial 16S ribosomal RNA". It matches the Rfam family "Bacterial small subunit ribosomal RNA", at positions 28 to 507 of the family's 1533-position model. The record is from RNAcentral.